RNAcentral lists this ribosomal RNA (354 nucleotides) under Triticum aestivum (bread wheat). RNAcentral's name for it is "partial small subunit ribosomal RNA". The record is from RNAcentral. Lineage: Eukaryota; Viridiplantae; Streptophyta; Magnoliopsida; Poales; Poaceae.
AUGACGCGGAACGUGAGCGACUCGCCGGUGAGGUCCUCAGAGGUCUGCCACACCUGGCCCCAGUUACGCUGCAACAACGUUCACUUGACGCGCUUGUUCCCCUUCACCUUGAGCGCCGCCACAUCCCCCGCCCCGCCCACGUUCGUGACCGCCACCAUGUUGAAGUAUUUGUUCCCCGUGAUCGUGUACCGGAUCCCGCCCAGCCUCAUGCAAGGCACACUGCAUCGCACGCACAUACACAUGGGCACAAUGCCGGCCUUCUCCUCCGCGAUCUGCAGGAAGGCUGGCAUGGUGAGGUCAAGGUGCUCGCGCGGCGGGUUGCACCACCCGCCGUCAUCGCCGGGCAACUGGUAG